GCCCUUGUAGCUCAGCUUGGAUUAGAGCACUUCUCUCCUAAGGAAGGGGUCGCGCGUUCGAAUCGCGUCAAGGGCG
This 76-nucleotide transfer RNA is filed under the name archaeon. Its description in RNAcentral is "tRNA-Arg". It matches the Rfam family "tRNA". From Rfam's summary of the family: Transfer RNA (tRNA) molecules are approximately 80 nucleotides in length. The record is from RNAcentral.